Long non-coding RNA from Musa acuminata AAA Group (dessert banana), 2930 nucleotides. RefSeq lists it as uncharacterized. Lineage: Eukaryota; Viridiplantae; Streptophyta; Magnoliopsida; Zingiberales; Musaceae. The transcript has 2 exons. The record is from RefSeq and is a predicted model, not a curated record.
GGAAGAACAUGAUCGUUGAUUUGACUGUAGAACUCGACAUGCAUGUCUGCGUCAUCAGGAUGUGAUCAUGUCGAAGGAGAGUGUGCAUUGUUAGAGAAGAGAAGGGUCCUCGCACACUCAAACAUCACAAGCGUCAGAAAUGAUGCAGCAGCUUCAUCAUCAAGCCUGAGUUCCCAUUUCUUUAAUCCGAUCACUUGCUCAUUCUCCCUCCAAAAGCCCUCACGAUAAAAGCUCACGAAGAUGCUGCCCUUCUGCCAACCAAAGCUCGAACAAAGAUGGUGUGCAGGUGCAGAAGGGAGAUGCCAAAGCAAGUCGGGAGCCCAACCUGUGCAUGAGAUUCCCAUUAUUAGAUGACAAAGACAAGCUACGGAAAGAGAACUACAGCAAGAUGCCCCCUCGCUUUCCCCAAUAUAUAAAUCCAAAUUCACGUGACUACGAGCUCGACAACCGAGAGAUGCAUUUCUCCUCCGGCCUCCUCCAUGGCAGCCCGCAUCAGGCUACAGUUGGCGUUAGAUCAUUACCUGUCGCCAUCUUCCCGAUUUGGAGCCUAUUUAAGGCCAUCAUCGCCGCACCUUAUUCUUCGGACACAAGCUCUCGGAGGAGCACUUGGAGUGGUGGGUGAAGGUAUAUGGGAAGUUCAAGGAGCUCUCUUUAGUCCAAUCUACGAGGGGAAGAGGGCACAUCCGGCUGCUGGUUCAUGCAUACCUUUGCGGUGCAACUCCCUGCACCACAGUGGUGAGCAUGCGCCAGGAGACGACCUUCCUUCCUUCUUCUCAUGCUUGGAUUGAAGGGAGCUCCUCUCUCUCUCUCUCUCUCUCUCUCUCUCUCUCUCUCUCUCUCUCUCUCUCUCUCUCUCUAGAUAGAGUUCAUGCUACUGAACUAUGCUGCUAUCUUUCAGCAUCAUCUCACAUCAUAAAGAUUGUCGGGAAAGAUAUCUGAAGAAAUAUGUUGUAAACACUCGAACAUAAUCACGUAUACAAAGUAGAAGUUCAACAAAGAUAGAUGAAGAGUAAACUUACACUUCAAUCGAUGGAAACAUUGGCAAUAGCAACUGUUCUACUAGUUUCAAAGCUAAUACAUGUACACGUUAAUGUUUUGAUAAGAAUGUUAUCGGAUAUAAAUGAUGCACGUACAGCUGCAGUAGUUGCUGGCUUUGGCACCAUAAUUUGACAGGUCUCGUGAAGUAGAAGAGAUUGGCUUCGUCCAUUUAUUUGCUGCAGUUUCAACCACAUCAACGACUCAACUAUUUCUGCAUUAGGGUUCUUGCGUCAUCCUGCAUGCUGCAGAAGAGCCGGAAGCCAGUCACCAACUCAAGCAAGAGGACCUAAAGAUGGAGCUUCCAUCUAUCAUUUGCUUUUGAUCCAGUUGAAGUGUACAGAAUAACUCUACGUGUAUAGAAGCUAUGAUUUGGUGAUGCAUACUGCCAUAUUACUGUUAAUAUCAUCCCAUCUCCUCACUAAUUUUGAUAUUUAAUCAUAUUAAUCUGUUAGUUUUGGAUGCUAAAUACACACAUAUAUAUAUACUACUAGUGGGUCCCAGUAUAUUCUCCAAUGACAAAACAGGUAAACGCGGCGGUUUAGACUUACACGUGGAGAACUUAUUAGGUUCAAAAAGAAACCACCUGCUAUAAUCUAUGGUUAUUAUUCCGUUGUUUACAACGAUCAUUAGAUUAAAUGAUAUUAAUUAGUUAAGCAUUAGCUACUUAAUUCUCGAAUUAUCUAACAUAAUAUUAAUUUAUACUCCUCCCCUACGUAUAAAACGAGGGCUUGGCGUUUCUCUCUCUCUCUCUCUCUCUCUCUCUUUCUUCUUGUGGCAUCGAGUCCGCCGUUUCUUUAUCCCUUCUCGGUCGUGGCCUUGAGGCGGCGCCGAUAUCCUGGAGAACCGAGUCACAGCGACGAGAGGCAUGGAUCCCGACCAGGCCUUCCCCGGCGGCGACCACAGCUUCGAGUUCGCAUUCGACUCCAGCAACGUCUCCGGCCGCGUGCUUCAGAUCGAGAUCAUGGCGGGGCCGGCCACCUCGAACGGAGGGACGGCGGCGCGAAGGAGAAAGAGGAAGCUGCUCUCAUGGACCUUUUAGGCUUUAUAAUCAGCAGAAGCAUUUCAACUACCUCUCCGACCCUCCUGGAUGUGUCGAUGGGCUGUGGAUAAGCUCGAGGUUGUUUCUUGCAUGCGGUAUUGUAGUCAGUAUCUUAGAAGCUUGCCUAUGACCACAGAAUCUGCAUUACUCUAUCUGGAUCUCCCUUGUAGCAUUUCAAUGGCCUCGGCAGUCCAGCUUUUAACCGAUGCAGCUAAGGAUUUCUUUGCUAAUAGUUUCAGGGACACAACCAAGUGUGUCAACAUUUAGAGGCAAGAAACACAAUCCAUAUGCAAAACUUUUUACAUAUUUUGUAACUCUGGAAGUGGAGGUUGGAUCAGCUUUACAGUAGAAUGCAAGUUUGCCACAACAUCGAAGCCAUCAGGAGCAUUUGUGAGCAAAUACAAAGGCUUCUAGGCUUUCACAGGUGUGAAGGCCGUGGGCUACAGGAACCUGUUUGCCAUACCGUGGGCUUCCUUUAUUAGCAAGGAUAGCCUCUUCUUCAUCGACGGCACCCUUUGGUAGGGAGCUGAUUUGACCAUCAAGCAGCCUCAACCUCCUUCCCUGCAGUAGUACAAGUUCUCUUGAUUGUUGGAUUAAAGUUUACAUCUCAUGGAAGUCAAGGUUGUCAUUUCUUGGAGGAGUAAAAUGCCAUAUGCUGUAAUGAUAACAGUAAAAUGUUAUAUAUCAAGGAGGUCAAGAAAUCUGACCCUGUAAAUGUCUCUGAUUUUUCUACACACCUCAUGGAAGUAUAGUCAAGUCUGUGUCACAGAAAUCCGAGUUUGGUGUGGAGUUCCAACCUAAUUUGUGUAUAUGGAAUUCUUAAUUCAUGCAAGAAUUCAUGAUCUUUUCAUCA